UUAAGCGACUAAGCGUACACGGUGGAUGCCCUGGCAGUCAGAGGCGAUGAAGGACGUGCUAAUCUGCGAAAAGCGUCGGUAAGGUGAUAUGAACCGUUAUAACCGGCGAUGUCCGAAUGGGGAAACCCAGUGCAAUUCGUUGCACUAUCGUUAACUGAAUACAUAGGUUAACGAGGCGAACCGGGGGAACUGAAACAUCUAAGUACCCCGAGGAAAAGAAAUCAACCGAGAUUCCCCCAGUAGCGGCGAGCGAACGGGGAGCAGCCCAGAGUCUGAAUCAGCUUGUGUGUUAGUGGAACGGUCUGGAAAGUCCGACGGUACAGGGUGAUAGUCCCGUACACCAAAAUGCACAGGUUGUGAACUCGAAGAGUAGGGCGGGACACGUGGUAUCCUGUCUGAAUAUGGGGGGACCAUCCUCCAAGGCUAAAUACUCCUGACUGACCGAUAGUGAACCAGUACCGUGAGGGAAAGGCGAAAAGAACCCCGGCGAGGGGAGUGAAAAAGAACCUGAAACCGUGUACGUACAAGCAGUGGGAGCACCUUCGGGUGUGACUGCGUACCUUUUGUAUAAUGGGUCAGCGACUUAUAUUCUGUAGCAAGGUUAACCGUAUAGGGGAGCCGCAGGGAAACCGAGUCUUAACUGGGCGUUAAGUUGCAGGGUAUAGACCCGAAACCCGGUGAUCUAGCCAUGGGCAGGUUGAAGGUUGGGUAACACUAACUGGAGGACCGAACCGACUAAUGUUGAAAAAUUAGCGGAUGACUUGUGGCUGGGGGUGAAAGGCCAAUCAAACCGGGAGAUAGCUGGUUCUCCCCGAAAGCUAUUUAGGUAGCGCCUCGUGAAUUCAUCUUCGGGGGUAGAGCACUGUUUCGGCUAGGGGGUCAUCCCGACUUACCAACCCGAUGCAAACUACGAAUACCGAAGAAUGUUAUCACGGGAGACACACGGCGGGUGCUAACGUCCGUCGUGAAGAGGGAAACAACCCAGACCGCCAGCUAAGGUCCCAAAGUCAUGGUUAAGUGGGAAACGAUGUGGGAAGGCACAGACAGCCAGGAUGUUGGCUUAGAAGCAGCCAUCAUUUAAAGAAAGCGUAAUAGCUCACUGGUCGAGUCGGCCUGCGCGGAAGAUGUAACGGGGCUAAACCAUGCACCGAAGCUGCGGCAGCGACACUAUGUGUUGUUGGGUAGGGGAGCGUUCUGUAAGCCUGCGAAGGUGNUGCUGGAGGUAUCAGAAGUGCGAAUGCUGACAUAAGUAACGAUAAAGCGGGUGAAAAGCCCGCUCGCCGGAAGACCAAGGGUUCCUGUCCAACGUUAAUCGGGGCAGGGUGAGUCGACCCCUAAGGCGAGGCCGAAAGGCGUAGUCGAUGGGAAACAGGUUAAUAUUCCUGUACUUGGUGUUACUGCGAAGGGGGGACGGAGAAGGCUAUGUUAGCCGGGCGACGGUUGUCCCGGUUUAAGCAUGUAGGCUGGUUAUCCAGGCAAAUCCGGAUAAUCAAGGCUGAGGUGUGAUGACGAGGCACUACGGUGCUGAAGUAACAAAUGCCCUGCUUCCAGGAAAAGCCUCUAAGCAUCAGGUAACAUCAAAUCGUACCCCAAACCGACACAGGUGGUCAGGUAGAGAAUACCAAGGCGCUUGAGAGAACUCGGGUGAAGGAACUAGGCAAAAUGGUGCCGUAACUUCGGGAGAAGGCACGCUGGUGUGUAGGUGAAGUCCCUGCGGAUGGAGCUGAGACCAGUCGAAGAUACCAGCUGGCUGCAACUGUUUAUUAAAAACACAGCACUGUGCAAACACGAAAGUGGACGUAUACGGUGUGACGCCUGCCCGGUGCCGGAAGGUUAAUUGAUGGGGUUAUCCGUAAGGAGAAGCUCUUGAUCGAAGCCCCGGUAAACGGCGGCCGUAACUAUAACGGUCCUAAGGUAGCGAAAUUCCUUGUCGGGUAAGUUCCGACCUGCACGAAUGGCGUAAUGAUGGCCAGGCUGUCUCCACCCGAGACUCAGUGAAAUUGAACUCGCUGUGAAGAUGCAGUGUACCCGCGGCAAGACGGAAAGACCCCGUGAACCUUUACUAUAGCUUGACACUGAACAUUGAGCCUUGAUGUGUAGGAUAGGUGGGAGGCUUUGAAGCGUGGACGCCAGUCUGCGUGGAGCCAACCUUGAAAUACCACCCUUUAAUGUUUGAUGUUCUAACGUUGGCCCCUGACCGGGGUUGCGGACAGUGUCUGGUGGGUAGUUUGACUGGGGCGGUCUCCUCCCAAAGCGUAACGGAGGAGCACGAAGGUUAGCUAAUCCUGGUCGGACAUCAGGAGGUUAGUGCAAUGGCAUAAGCUAGCUUGACUGCGAGCGUGACGGCGCGAGCAGGUGCGAAAGCAGGUCAUAGUGAUCCGGUGGUUCUGAAUGGAAGGGCCAUCGCUCAACGGAUAAAAGGUACUCCGGGGAUAACAGGCUGAUACCGCCCAAGAGUUCAUAUCGACGGCGGUGUUUGGCACCUCGAUGUCGGCUCAUCACAUCCUGGGGCUGAAGUAGGUCCCAAGGGUAUGGCUGUUCGCCAUUUAAAGUGGUACGCGAGCUGGGUUUAGAACGUCGUGAGACAGUUCGGUCCCUAUCUGCCGUGGGCGCUGGAGAAUUGAGGGGGGCUGCUCCUAGUACGAGAGGACCGGAGUGGACGCAUCACUGGUGUUCGGGUUGUCAUGCCAAUGGCACUGCCCGGUAGCUAAAUGCGGAAGAGAUAAGUGCUGAAAGCAUCUAAGCACGAAACUUGCCCCGAGAUGAGUUCUCCCUGAGACUUUAAGUCUCCUGAAGGAACGUUGAAGACGACGACGUUGAUAGGCCGGGUGUGUAAGCGCAGCGAUGCGUUGAGCUAACCGGUACUAAUGAACCGUGAGGCUUAACCUU
This 2889-nucleotide ribosomal RNA is filed under the name Klebsiella pneumoniae. RNAcentral describes it as "bacterial LSU rRNA". It matches the Rfam family "Bacterial large subunit ribosomal RNA". Lineage: Bacteria; Pseudomonadati; Pseudomonadota; Gammaproteobacteria; Enterobacterales; Enterobacteriaceae. The record is from RNAcentral.